This 73-nucleotide transfer RNA is filed under the name Surirella sp. RNAcentral's name for it is "tRNA-Pro". It matches the Rfam family "tRNA". From Rfam's summary of the family: Transfer RNA (tRNA) molecules are approximately 80 nucleotides in length. Their secondary structure includes four short double-helical elements and three loops (D, anti-codon, and T loops). The record is from RNAcentral. Lineage: Eukaryota; Bacillariophyta; Bacillariophyceae; Surirellales; Surirellaceae.
CGAAAUAUAACGCAGUUGGUAGCGUACUAAUUUUGGGAAUUAGAAGUCACAGGUUCGAAUCCUGUUAUUUCGA